UGGAAGAUGAGCCCCAACUUCUAAAAAUGUGUCGCUACCAGGAUUGAGAUACAAACAGCAUUUGGGAAGGUAGCCACGUUCACAUUUUCAGAGCUCAAAGCAAGAUAUGACACUAAGCUCUUCUUCUCUUUUCUGAUUCUUGCAGGUCUCAUCUGAGUAGCAUCUUCCUGCCCUCCUUCCUGGAGAUAAGUAGGGCUUUUGGUGAGACAGACUUUCCCGACCCUCUGCCCAGCCGGUGCCCAUGCUUCUGUGGCUGCUGCUGCUGAUCCUGACUCCUGGAAGAGAACAAUCAGGGGUGGCCCCAAAAGCUGUACUUCUCCUCGAUCCUCCAUGGUCCACAGCCUUCAAAGGAGAAAGAGUGGCUCUCAUAUGCAGGGGAAUAUCACAUUCCCCAGCCCAGGGAGACACGUAUUGGUAUCGCAAUGAGAAGUUAUUGAAAAUAAAAUAUAACAAGAUCCAAAUUACAGAGUCUGGAAAUUAUCAAUGUAAGACCCGAGGAUCCUCCCUCAGUGAUGCCGUGCAUGUGGGAUUUUCACCUGACUGGCUGAUCCUGCAGGCUUCACAUCCUGUCUUUGAAGGAGACAAUGUCAUUCUGAGAUGUCAGGGGAAAGAUGACAAAAACACUCAUCAAAAGGUUUACUACAAGGAUGGAAAACAGCUUCCUAACAGUUAUAAUUUAGACAAUAUCACAGUGAAUUCAGUCUCCAGAGAUAAUAGCAAAUAUCAUUGUACUGCUACUUGUAAGAGGUUUUACAUGAUUAACUUUAAAGAAACUUCAAAACACCUAAAUAUCCAAGUUCAAGAGGCCAAAUAUCCAGCUGCAAUUCUCCUUCUUCAGAGAUAGCCAGACCCUCGGAUCAGGCUGGAGCAGGUCCCCCAAACUCCAGAUCCCUGCCAUGUGGACUGAAGACUCGGGGUCUUACUGGUGUGAGGUGGAGACAGUGACUCACAGCAUCAAAAAAAGGAGCCUGAGAUCUCAGAUACGUGUACAGAGAGUUCCUGUGUCUAAUGUGAAUCUAGAGAUCCGGCCCACCGGAGGGCAGCUGAUUGAAGGAGAAAAUAUGGUCCUUAUUUGCUCAGUAGCCCAGGGUUCAGGGACUGUCACAUUCUCCUGGCACAAAGAAGGAAGAGUAAGAAGCCUGGGUAGAAAGAGCCAGCGUUCCCUGUUGGCAGAGCUGCAUGUUCUCACCGUGAAGGAGAGUGAUGCAGGGAAAUACUACUGUGCAGCUGAUAACGUUCACGGCCCCAUCCUCAGCACGUGGAUUCGAGUCACUGUGAGAAUUCCAGUAUCUCACCCCAUCCUCACCUUCAGGGCUCCCAGGGCCCACGCUGUGGUUGGGGACCUGCUGGAGCUUCACUGUGAGUCCCUGAGAGGCUCUCCCCCGAUCCUGUACCGAUUUUAUCAUGAGGAUGUCACCCUGGGGAACAGCUCAGCCCCCUCUGGAGGAGGAGCCUCCUUCAACCUCUCUCUGACUGCAGAACAUUCUGGAAACUACUCCUGUGAUGCAGACAAUGGCCUGGGGGCCCAGCAUAGUCAUGGAGUGAGUCUCAGGGUCACAGUUCCGGUGUCUCGCCCCGUCCUCACCCUCAGGGCUCCCGGGGCCCAGGCUGUGGUGGGGGACCUGCUGGAGCUUCACUGUGAGUCCCUGAGAGGCUCCUUCCCGAUCCUGUACUGGUUUUAUCACGAGGAUGACACCUUGGGUAACAGCUCGGCCCACUCUGGAGGAGGGGCAUCCUUCAACCUCUCUCUGACUACAGAACAUUCUGGAAACUACUCAUGUGAGGCUGACAAUGGCCUGGGGGCCCAGCACAGCAAAGUGGUGACACUCAAUGUUACAGGAACUUCCAGGAGCAGAACAGGCCUUACCACUGUGGGAGUCACGGGGCUGGUGCUCAGCAUCCUCGGCCUUGCUGCUGCUGCUGCUCUGCUGCAUUACGCCAGGGCCCGAACGAAACUAGAAGGACUUUCCGCCACUGGAACAUCUAGUCACAGUCCUAGUGAGUGUCAGGAGGCUUCUUCAUCCAGGUUUUCCAGGAUAGACCCUCAAGAGCCCACUCACUCUAAACCACUAGCCCCGAUGGAGCUGGAGCCGAUGUACAGCAAUGUAAAUCCUGGAGAUAGCAACCUGAUUUAUUCCCAGAUCUGGAGCAUCCAGCAUACAAAAGAAAACUCAGCUAAUUGUCCAACGAUGCAUCAAGAGCAUGAGGAACUUACAGUCCUCUAUUCAGAAUUGAAGAAGACACACCCAGAUGACUCUGCAGGGGAGGCUAGCAGCAGACACAGGGCCCAUGAAAAUGAUGAAGAAAACUAUGAGAAUGUACCACGUGUAUUAUUGGCCUCAGACCACUGGCCCCUUACCCAGAGUGGCCCACAAGAAACAGCCUGCACCAGUUUUUUUUCUGUUCUCUCCAACCACACAUCAUCCAUCUCUCCAGACUCUGCCUCCUACGAGGCUGGGCUGCAGGAUUCUGAACCUAAUAAAGGACAAAAUUCAAGAUUUUCCAUGUCUUUGUAACACUUAGCCCUGGGCAAAUCAGAGUAUGUGAGUGGAAGGAGGGGUGAGCCCUAACUGUACAUCUCGGAUAUAACAAAAGUGCAAAUUCUGAUUGCCCUGUAAAAUGAAUUAUUCUCAUGCAUUGCUCUACUUGACUUUUCCCUUUGAAUUCACAACUAAAAACCCAUAGCCCAGAAAUCUAAAAAACAGUAAUUUUAGUGGAGCUUUUGAAAAUAAAAGACCAUUGGAAAAAGUA
This 2751-nucleotide small RNA is filed under the name Pongo abelii (Sumatran orangutan). RNAcentral describes it as "processed transcript". Lineage: Eukaryota; Metazoa; Chordata; Mammalia; Primates; Hominidae. The record is from RNAcentral.